AGGAUGAACGCUGGCGGUCUGCUUAACACAUGCAAGUCGAACGGAGUAGCAAUACUUAGUGGCGGACGGGUGAGUAACGCGUGAGAAUCUACCUUCAGGACGGAGACAACAGUUGGAAACGACUGCUAACCCCCGAUGUACUGAAAAGGCAAAUAUUUAUAGCCUGAAGAAGAGCUCGCGUCCGAUUAGCUAGUUGGAGAGGUAAAAGCUCACCAAGGCGACGAUCGGUAGCUGGUCUGAGAGGACGAUCAGCCACACUGGGACUGAGACACGGCCCAGACUCCUACGGGAGGCAGCAGUGGGGAAUUUUCCGCAAUGGGCGAAAGCCUGACGGAGCAAGACCGUGUGGGGGAAGAAGGGCUCUUGGGGUUGUAAACCCCCUUUUUCUCUGGGGAAGAACGACAAUGACGGUACCAGAGGAAUCAGCAUCGGCUAACUCCGUGCCAGCAGCCGC
Molecule: ribosomal RNA, 454 nt
Filed under: uncultured bacterium
Lineage: Bacteria
Description: SSU rRNA
Rfam family: Bacterial small subunit ribosomal RNA
Source: RNAcentral